AGGAGGGGGGAAAGCGGUGGAAAGCAACAGGGAAUUAGAUAUCCUUGUUGUUGCAAGCUGUAAACGAUGUCAAAUAGCGGGUGGAAUCCUUGAGAUUUUAGUGGCACAGCUAACACAGUAUGUUAACAAUUCGGGGGAUGACGGCCACAAGUUUAAAACUCAAAUGAUAUAGGGGGGAUCUCACAAGCGCUGUAGCGUUUGGUGUUAAUUUGAAGCAACUCGAAGAACCUUAGCAUGUCGUUGACAUUCAGGGAACUUGCGAGAGUUGGAUUUGUGCUUUGGGGAACUCUGACACAGGUGAUGCAUGGCUGUCGUCAGGUCGUAUCGUGAGAUGUUGGGUUAAGGUCCCGUAAAGAGCGGCAACCCUUAUCUUUAGUUCACGGCGCGUUAUGGUGGGCACUGUAAGGGGACUGCCGGUGACAAACCGGAGGUAGGUGGGGAUGACGUCAAGUCAUCAUGGGCCUUACGGCCUGGGCUACACACGUGCUACAAUGGGCGGUACAGAGGGUUUCCAAGCCGCGAGGAGGAGGUAAUUUUACAAAACCGAUGGUAGUCCGGAUAGCAGUCGGCAAUUGGACUGGGUGAAGUCGGAAUCGAUAGUAAUCUCGAAUCAGAAAGUCUCGGUGAAUAUGUUCCCGGGCCUUGGUCACACCGCCUGUCACAUCAUGGGAGAGGGUUGCACCAGAAGUAGCUAGUGUAACCUUCGGGAGGACUGGUUAUCCAGCGGUGUGAUUCAUGUUGUGGGGUGAAGUCGUAACAAGGUAGCCGU
RNAcentral lists this ribosomal RNA (769 nucleotides) under uncultured Pseudomonas sp. RNAcentral's name for it is "bacterial SSU rRNA". It matches the Rfam family "Bacterial small subunit ribosomal RNA", at positions 746 to 1503 of the family's 1533-position model. Lineage: Bacteria; Pseudomonadati; Pseudomonadota; Gammaproteobacteria; Pseudomonadales; Pseudomonadaceae. The record is from RNAcentral.